GGAGGGGUGGCCGAGUGGUUAAAGGCAGCAGACUGUAAAUCUGCCCCGCAGAGCGGUACGCAGGUUCGAAUCCUGCCCCCUCCACCA
Molecule: transfer RNA, 87 nt
Filed under: Chloroflexota bacterium
Lineage: Bacteria; Bacillati; Chloroflexota
Also listed under: 1 other name
Description: Chloroflexi bacterium tRNA-Tyr
Rfam family: tRNA
About the family: Transfer RNA (tRNA) molecules are approximately 80 nucleotides in length. Their secondary structure includes four short double-helical elements and three loops (D, anti-codon, and T loops).
Source: RNAcentral